CCGCGUGGGUGACGACGGCCUUCGGGUUGUAAACCUCUUUCGUCACGGACGAAGCGCAGGUGACGGUAUGUGCAGAAGAAGGACCGGCCAACUACGUGCCAGCCCCCGCGGUAAUACGUAGGGUCCGAGCGUUGUCCGGAAUUACUGGGCGUAAAGAGCUCGUACGUGGUUUGUCGCGUUGUUCGUGAAAACUCACAGCUCAACUGUGGGCGUGCGGGCGAUACCGGCAGACUGGAAUACUGCAGGGGAGACUGGAAUUCCUGGUGUAGCGGUGGAAUGCGCAGAUAUCAGGAGGAACACCGGUGGCGAAGGCGGGUCUCUGGGCAGUAACUGACGCUCAGGAGCGAAAGCGUGGGGAGCGAACAGGAUUAGAUACCCUGGUAGUCCACGCCGUAAACGGUGGGUACUAGGUGUGGGUUUCCUUCCUUGGGAUCCGUGCCGUACCUAACGCAUUAAGUACCCCGCCUGGGGAGUACGGCCGCAAGGCUAAAACUCAAAGAAAUUGACGGGGGCCCGCACAAGCGGCGGAGCAUGUGGAUUAAUUCGAUGCAACGCGAAGAACCUUACCUGGGUUUGACAUGCACAGGACGACGGCAGAGAUGUCGUUUCCCUUGUGGCCUGUGU
This 624-nucleotide ribosomal RNA is filed under the name Mycobacterium sp. So3Ps_1748. RNAcentral's name for it is "bacterial SSU rRNA". It matches the Rfam family "Bacterial small subunit ribosomal RNA", at positions 397 to 1033 of the family's 1533-position model. Lineage: Bacteria; Bacillati; Actinomycetota; Actinomycetes; Mycobacteriales; Mycobacteriaceae. The record is from RNAcentral.